GAUUAAGUGAUACAGUUGAGUGCACAAUGCAUUGCUCCAGUCCAUUCUGGUCUCUCAGGCAUGAUAAAUGGAUUUUGCUAGUGUAGAAAAUUAUCCAAACAAAAUGCAUAAAUGAUCACUGGAUUGGCAACAUGGGCUUCUUCUUAGAUUGUACAAAUCAAGCAAAACUGAAUUUUAAAGGGAAAAAAAAUGCAGUUCCCCAUAAAUAUAGUCAACGGGAAAUGUCCUGUGAUUUAUUGCUACAUUUUUUAGCUACAAAUUUAUUGUUAGUAGAUUAAAAAA
This 282-nucleotide unclassified non-coding RNA is filed under the name Hevea brasiliensis (rubber tree). Lineage: Eukaryota; Viridiplantae; Streptophyta; Magnoliopsida; Malpighiales; Euphorbiaceae. The record is from RNAcentral.